GAUGAACGCUGGCGGCGUGCCUAAUACAUGCAAGUCGAGCGAACAGAUGAGGAGCUUGCUCCUCUGACGUUAGCGGCGGACGGGUGAGUAACACGUGGAUAACCUACCUAUAAGACUGGGAUAACUUCGGGAAACCGGAGCUAAUACCGGAUAAUAUAUUGAACCGCAUGGUUCAAUAGUGAAAGACGGUUUUGCUGUCACUUAUAGAUGGAUCCGCGCCGCAUUAGCUAGUUGGUAAGGUAACGGCUUACCAAGGCAACGAUGCGUAGCCGACCUGAGAGGGUGAUCGGCCACACUGGAACUGAGACCCGGUCCAGACUCCUCCGGGAGGCAGCAGUAGGGAAUCUUCAGCAAUGGGCGAAAGCCUGACGGAGCAACGCCGCGUGAGUGAUGAAGGUCUUCGGAUCGUAAAACUCUUUUAUUAGGGAAAAACAAAUGUGUAAGUAACUAUGCACGUCUUGACGGUACCUAAUCAGAAGGCCACGGCUAACUACGUG
RNAcentral lists this ribosomal RNA (497 nucleotides) under uncultured bacterium. RNAcentral describes it as "partial 16S ribosomal RNA". It matches the Rfam family "Bacterial small subunit ribosomal RNA", at positions 28 to 507 of the family's 1533-position model. The record is from RNAcentral.